UACGUAGGUGGCAAGCGUUGUCCGGAUUUACUGGGCGUAAAGAGCGCGCAGGCGGUCGGAUCAGUCGAAUGUGAAAGCCCCCGGCGCAACUGGGGAGGGUCAUUCGAUACUGUCCGACUCGAAGGCAGGAGAGGGAAGCGGAAUUCCCGGUGUAGUGGUGAAAUGCGUAGAUAUCGGGAGGAACACCAGUGGCGAAGGCGGCUUUCUGGCCUGUUCUUGACGCUGAGGCGCGAAAGCUAGGGGAGCGAACGGG
RNAcentral lists this ribosomal RNA (253 nucleotides) under uncultured bacterium. Its description in RNAcentral is "partial 16S ribosomal RNA". It matches the Rfam family "Bacterial small subunit ribosomal RNA", at positions 524 to 776 of the family's 1533-position model. The record is from RNAcentral.